RNAcentral lists this long non-coding RNA (336 nucleotides) under Androctonus crassicauda. The record is from RNAcentral. Lineage: Eukaryota; Metazoa; Arthropoda; Arachnida; Scorpiones; Buthidae.
CCCUUUAUUCUGUUAAUAACAGGGACAACUGUUAAGCAAUAUGAAAUCAGUAGAUAAAUUUAUAGUUACUGUAUAGCGAAGUACACAUAACUAUAUAUGACGUGAUGAUGGUGAUGAAUAUGCUGUGCAGUAAAAAUGAUGAUGAUGAAGGUGAUGAUGAUUUUUAUUGCGCAGCCGAUGACUGUAUUUUAUGUCUCUUCAAACGGCGGUGCCAUUUCCUGGGGCACCUCUUCCAUGGUUUUGGAAAGUGUAUCCAUAGUAGUAAUAGGAACUGGCUCUUUUUUGCGAGGCUACAAAAACAUUGUGAUCGGCAGUUGCUGCCGCUGCUUCUUUUUC